This 72-nucleotide transfer RNA is filed under the name Actinomycetes bacterium. RNAcentral describes it as "Actinobacteria bacterium tRNA-Val". It matches the Rfam family "tRNA". Rfam says of the family: Transfer RNA (tRNA) molecules are approximately 80 nucleotides in length. Their secondary structure includes four short double-helical elements and three loops (D, anti-codon, and T loops). Lineage: Bacteria; Bacillati; Actinomycetota; Actinomycetes. The record is from RNAcentral.
GGGCGUUUAGCUCAGGGGGAGAGCGCUUCCUUCACACGGAAGAGGUCAUUGGUUCAAAUCCAAUAACGCCCA